CUUCUCCUGACCGGCUGUGUCC
Molecule: unclassified non-coding RNA, 22 nt
Filed under: Mus musculus (house mouse)
Lineage: Eukaryota; Metazoa; Chordata; Mammalia; Rodentia; Muridae
Description: oocyte_clustered_small_RNA12497
Source: RNAcentral